Molecule: long non-coding RNA, 615 nt
Organism: Coffea eugenioides
Lineage: Eukaryota; Viridiplantae; Streptophyta; Magnoliopsida; Gentianales; Rubiaceae
Exons: 2
Source: RefSeq, a predicted model, not a curated record
AGCUGCAGUGUAUAAGAAAGCAAAAGCAGCAGUGGCAGUAGCAGUAGUAGAACUAGUUGAAGAUGGAUGCCCCGCCGCUCUCUCAAGAGAUGUCUUACUACGAUCAUGUUAAGCAGCGACAUACGGAUAAAGGCUGCCUCUAUGCUUGUUUGUUCGCGGCGUGUUGCUGUUUCUGUUGCUACGAGACAUGCGAGUGCUGUUUGGAUAUCAUCUGCUGCAAGUGUUUCUAACGUCUUCUUGGUCUACUGAUUCAAUUCUCUUUUAAUUUGUGCCCGUGAAGCAAACUAUGUCGUCCUGUUGUUUUAGUUUUUUGAGCUCCUUCAGCUUCUUGGUGUGGUUCAAAAUUGAGACUUUAACCGGUCUCAGGUGUUAAAAAGAUUGUCAGACUCGUAUAAACUGUUCUCCCUUCGUAAUUAAUUCCUUCUUCGUACUUUGGCUGAAUGAUUCUGCAUUUACAAAAAUAAUUUUAUACCUCUGCCUAGUACCAAGUCGCUAGAACCGAAACAGACCAAACACUCUCUUACAGUUUAAGUGACAUCCAAUCCAUUGUAGUAAAGCAAAGUUCAAGCUUUACACCUUGUGUGACGUUUCAUAAUAAAAGCUCACGUUGAUGAA